UUACGGGAGGCAGCAGUGGGGAAUAUUGCGCAAUGGAGGAAACUCUGACGCAGCAACGCCGCGUGGGUGAAGAAGGCUUUCGGGUUGUAAAGCCCUGUCAGGCGGGAAGAAACUUCCGCAGGUGAAUAGUCUGUGGAACUGACGGUACCGCCAAAGGAAGCACCGGCUAACUCCGUGCCAGCAGCCGCGGUAAGACGGAGGGUGCAAGCGUUGUUCGGAAUUACUGGGCGUAAAGCGCGUGUAGGCGGUCCGAUAAGUCGAGUGUGAAAGCCCGAGGCCCAACCUCGGAAGUGCAUUCGAAACUGUCGGGCUUGAGUACGGGAGAGGGAAGUGGAAUUCCUGGUGUAGAGGUGAAAUUCGUAGAUAUCAGGAGGAACACCGGUGGCGAAGGCGGCUUCCUGGACCGAUACUGACGCUGAGACGCGAAAGCGUGGGGAGCAAACAGGAUUAGAUACCCCGGUAGUCCC
RNAcentral lists this ribosomal RNA (467 nucleotides) under uncultured bacterium. RNAcentral describes it as "bacterial SSU rRNA". It matches the Rfam family "Bacterial small subunit ribosomal RNA", at positions 339 to 797 of the family's 1533-position model. The record is from RNAcentral.